GAGGCAGCCGAGUUCCAACCCUUUCUUUCCAAAGUGCACUCACUCUGGAGCUGUGGUUUCCAUUUGUGAAGCUGUUCCCUUUAUGGCUGCGCACAGAUCACCCUUGUCAAAAGGAUUUAUUGAUGUGUCAGUGCAUGUCGUGGAGAAGAUCAUAGUGGGAUGGCUUUGAAGGAUUUAUAAGAAAUCUACGGGCUUUAAUACACUCAGCGGUAAAUAACUAACAAGUACUGCACGUAUUGAUUCUUGUCAUGUGGUCAAUGCAAUCUUUAGCCCACUAAUUGUCAGUAUUGACAAACAGUUCAUGAUCUAAAUGAGCAGCUGGACAUCCGUUCUGAGUGGAACAUUUCCAAAUGGCAUUCUCCUUGCUGUUCUCAGCCUAACGUUCAUGGAGCAGCCUUGCAGCUCGCCUCCUACUCCCUCCUGAUAUAGAGAUGUAAUCCCUGUUUUCUCCUGUCUUCUACAUGAUUUGAUGUCACGAAUAUGAUUAAUGUGCUGCUCAACCUCUUGCCCACAUCACUAAUAACAACGUUAAAGAACAGUGGACCUGUUACUGAAUGCCACUCCAGCAAAUGUCGUCUCUCUGCCCCUCGUUUACAGUUUUUUAUCUCUUUCAGGUCCCAUGGGGGAUAUUCAUUUCUAAGGCCAAUUUGAAUUAAUUUUGCAAUUCAGAUUUCAAGAGACCUGAAGACCCAGAACAAAGGCCUGUUCACGAUCCAAAAGCAGAAAACCUGAUCCUGAGUUGCAAUCUAAAUAAACAUUCAAAAGUAUAUUUUCUUGCUCUAGAAUAAUAACAUAUUUACAUAGCACUUUCUGUGUGUAAGAUGCUGUUCUAAGACCUUUACAUACACUGGUAUUAACUUUUUUAAAUCCUCAAAGCAACCAUGGGAUGAGUAGUAUUAUUUAUCCUCAUUUUACAGAUGAGGAAACUGAGGCACAAAGAGAUUCAGUAACCCAAGGAUUCAAUCAAGGCAGUCUUACUCCAAAAUUUGUAUCAUGCUAUAUUGCCUCUAGGAAACUGCUUACUUGAACUACUUGUAACAACUCAAGUGUUCCGGUUAUCCACUGUUGCAUUAAAAAACUACCCCAAACUUGAUAGCUUAAAACAACCAUUUUAUUAAAUCUCAUGAUUUUGUGGGUGAGUGGCUUAGCUGGGUGAUUCUCUGCUCCGCAUAGGACCAAGUGGAUUCAAACACAGUGGUCUUCAGCUGUGAGCCAGGCUGAUCUGGAGGAUCCCUGAGACUUCACCACCUGCCUGGCCCCUCCUUGGGGACAGAUGGAAGGCUUGUCUCUACCGGCCCCUCUCCUUCACCAUGCAGUCCCAGGGCCUCUCCACAGGGGCCCUUAGCAGCAUAGUCAAAGUUCCCACAGGAUGGCUCAGUGCUCAAAGGGACCAAGGUGAAAACUAUCAGUCCACUUAAGGACCAGGUCUAGAACUGGCACCGCAUCACCUCUGCAGGGCAUUCCUGGUCAAUGCCGCCUGAGGCCAGCCUGAAUUCAAAAACAGGGGUAAUAGACCCCGUCUCUCAGUUGAAGAAUCGUUAACAAAUCUGUGGCCGUCUCAGUCUGCUACCUCAAGUAUUAUAGAAAAGGUUGACUUUCAGGCAGUGGAACUAAAACGCAAUAGUGUGUAUUUUGUUUCUUACUUUUUGUCCUUUCUUAAUUAACAUUAUUUUUUUAGAAAGUAAGGCAGAAGAACAGGAGCCAGGAUUUCUUUCGGGCAUUUUCAUCCACGAUGUCUCACUAAGAGCCUAACUGGGCUAUGCUGAGGCUGUCGCAGUUGGGGGCUUAAGUCCCUGUAUGAAAACAAGUCCCCCCAGGCUCAGAGAGGCUGAGGAACUCGCCCACUCAGACCUUGGGUUUCAAGAAGUAUGUUGUAUAUUUUUUUCUUUUUAACUCAACUGUAGCUUCUUCCUACGAUUUUAUGGGAUCAUUGAUUAGAAUGAAAGAGAAGACACAGUGUGUUGACUAUCGUGUUCAUUUAGCAGCAGCUGACUUGAACUUGGCAUGAACUGGAGGAUGUGAUUUCCCCUCUCAACACCUUUGUUUUCCAUUUGUAACAUGAAUGGUUUGGGCCAGAUGAGUGUUUUCCAAACUGAUGGGCCUUGAAAUCAAGGUAGAAAAGCAAAAACAACAUUUUUUAAAUGAAGUAGUAUAAAAUAAAGAAUAGAAUAUGUCCUAUGCAGGGAGGGGAACAGUGUGAGUCUUUAGUUUAAGUUCUGGUUGCCUAUUUGUGCGUGUGUGUCUGCAUGCAUGUGUGUGUGCAUGUGCAUGUGUGUGAGCUUAUGUGUGUGUGUAUUGGAUAAUACCAUGAAAUGUAUUUCUCACUGUAGAUGAUAGAAAAGUUUGAAAGCCACUGGGUUAGGUGACCUUUUUUGAUUCUUUCCAGAUCAGAAAGAUAUGAUUCUGGGAAUGGUCAUGAUGUCAACUAUAAUUUUGUAUAAAACAGACUACCUAACUUGCUUUGAACAAGACCCUGCAUAAAAUGACUCUCUGUUAAAAUAUACUUGAUACAUUUAUCAAUUCAUGUAUUAUUAUUCAAAAUGAAAAAUCAUUCUCUACAUCAAAUUUUGGUCAAAAGAAAACCCUUUCCCAACACCCAACCUUCUUGCCCUCAGGACAAAAAUCUCUGCACAGCAAAUAUUCCCACGCCCUGGCUCAUACAUUCUGUGUUCAUUUCAAGCAGUAUUUUUUUAAUGAAAUUUUACUACCUUGAAAGCAUUAGGACCAUCCUUCCAAUUUGGAAUGUAACAUGCACAAUUCAAUUUUUAUUAAAUGCAAUGGUGUCUAGAAAUUAAACCUCAAGAGAAUAUUUUAAGACACAAAUGUGAGCGAUAUCCUAUCGAUGGUAAAUUAAUUCAGAGGAUGCAAUCUGCAAAAUUAAAGAAGUGAUUUAGGGAUACAGCGUCAGAUUGGAGACCAGACGAAGAGAAGAAACCAUAGUUUCCUUUUAUACUGAAAUUCCAUGAGGCAACAGCUCUGCAAAUGUUGACAGGCACAUAUUCUGAAGUAUUAAGAGUCCACACGAAUUGUGGAUGACCUUGUGUCUCUGACCCGCUGCAUUCUGUUGGCCAGAAUGUGGGACCCAGUAAUUUUUCUUCUCUCAAAUAUAAAACAAUGCAAACUCUUUCCUGUAUAUUCAGCCAACAACCAAGAUAUAUAUUUUACUCUAAAUGCAAAGGCAUUUUAUUUUGGAAAAUAUUGAUUUCCUAAACUUCUAGAAGUUGGCACUGAAGUAAAUAGUACAUGAGGAGUAAAGUUAAAAUGGGCUUUGGGGAAAAUGUAUGAUCCUGUUUGCUCAAAAAGCUUAGAAAUGAUGUGACAAAUAUCAUCUUGGAUUUUUUUUAAAUUUUCUGAUUUCAAUGUUCACAUAAUAAUAUAUUUAUGGAGCAAUUUACUAUUUUUAAAGCACUUUUUUUCACUCACUUAUUAAAAAGUAUUUAUUGGGUGGCUACUUUGUGCUGGGCCCAGCUCUUGGCAGUGGCGAAACAGACGAGGUCCCCUGGAGCUUCCAGCUUAGCAGAGGGAGAUAGCCAGGAACAAGAAAACACAUAAAGGAGCCAGAUCAUUGCGGACUGUGAUACGC
This is a non-coding RNA of Equus caballus (horse), 3583 nucleotides long. The record is from RefSeq and is a predicted model, not a curated record. Lineage: Eukaryota; Metazoa; Chordata; Mammalia; Perissodactyla; Equidae.